RNAcentral lists this long non-coding RNA (2407 nucleotides) under Mytilus galloprovincialis (Mediterranean mussel). Lineage: Eukaryota; Metazoa; Mollusca; Bivalvia; Mytilida; Mytilidae. The record is from RNAcentral.
AAUAUAUUUAGACUCGUUUGGGCUUGUAUCAUAUUUUCCCUCCGGUUUAUAUGAUCCGUUCAUCCUAUAUUGACUCUUAAAAUUCAAGAGUCUUAUCUAAAAAUGAGGGUACUUUUUAUAUGGCCUUCCAAAUACCGUUUCGAUCCAUAACAUCACUGAAGAGACAUUUAUUGUCGAAAUUCGGAUCUGGUGUACUAAAAAAUAUUCACACCGUAUGUUUGUGGCAUAACAUCGUGGCCACAAGUUGAAAACAAUUUCUGUUUAGUAUUAAAUUUAAAUUAGAUCCAUUUUUGUUACAUCUUGUGAUCAAUUUUAUUUGGCAAUCGCCAAUGGCAGUCAGCAGGGUUAAAAUGUUAGUCGAAUGCGUUUUGUUUGAAUAUACUUUUUCACUUUUGGUCUUUUGGAAAAUGUUGUUUGUGCUGUUUUUAGACCCCUCUACAACGAAUUUUUUUUUACAUGCACACGUAUAAUAAUUGCGGUUUUUAUCCAACGCAAUCAUAGGUUUGAACGUAGUUUUCAAUUUAGACUCGUGUAUACUGUGGAUUCAUUAUUAUUCGUUGGAUACCAAUUUUCGUGGCUUUCGUGGGAGGAGUCUAACUACGAAAUUAAAUUUUCAACGAAUAACAAAUUUUCAAUAGGCUUGUAUGCAGACUUCGGCAAAACCACGAAAUAAAAUAUCCACGAACAUGCGAGUUUUCUUUAAUCCACGAAAAUUUGUACCCACGAAAAUAAAUGAACCCACAGUAUAUAUAUAUAUGUAAACAUCAGAUCUGUGUACGACCUCAAAUCUGUGUCCGUUUUUCAAAUCUAUGCCCAAUCGAGACGUCACGCUAAUCUAUGUCAAAAUGAUUCGGCCUCAAAUCUGUGUCCGAUUUCUCGCGACAUCAUUCGCAAAUCUGUGUCCGUUAUGAAAAAGAUAAGGUCUCAAAUCUGUGUUAAUUUAAAAAAAAAAUUUCCAAUUUGUUUCGCCAUGCGCAAGUUUAUGCCUGUCUAAUAAGUUCGGCCUUAUAGGUUUUUUUAUUUUAUUAAGUAAUUUACCAUAAUUUAAUAUUAAGUUGGAAUGUGUUCAUCAUAUAUGUGCAAGAGCCGAAGUAAAGUAUACGUUUAAGAAAAUCCGGCUAAAUUAUUUAGCUGGUAUUUAUGAUAUUGUUUCAAGCACGGUCUUACUAUGUAAUGUUAACCUUGCUUUUGUCAUAUAAACCACUCGUACAAUGUUUGUUUGGUUUGAGUUAAUGCUCCGUGUUGAAGGCCGUUCUUACACCUGUAAUUGUUAACUUUUCAUUGUUUACUUGAUAACAAUUUGUUAUGUUUUACGUCGAUGAAAGGACAUAGAUUUGAGCCAAAAAUGGCAAUAGAUUUGAGUAAAUAAAGGACAUAGAUGUGAAACAAUAUUGGACAUAGAUUUGAGACAAUAAAGGACAUAGAUUUGGAACGUCUAUGACGCAAUAUUAAAAAGGACAUAGAUUAGCGGAAAGGACAUAGAUUUGAGGCCGGACAUAGAUUUGAGGCUUAUAUAUAUAUAACUCGUCUAAACAUGAACCCAACAAUGUUAGAUCUACAAAUUUGCUUUCGCAAUUUUUUUGUUCUUCCCUUUAACUUAUCGAGUUAAGCCAUUUCAAUUAAUAUGUUAUAGUGUGUUCGUUUGUGUUGUAAUGUUGUACGCCUGUUUAAGGUUAGUUAAGGUUGGCGGUUGUUUAAACGUUUAAACCCGCUAAUUGUUUUUUUUUUGCAUCUGCCCUCAGUCAGCAACCUGUCGUUCAUAAUUAUAUCUCGUUUUUGUUUUCUUAGUGAUUGCUGUUCGGUGUAAGCCAAAGCUCUAUGUUGAAAGACGUAAUUAGAUCUAUAAUAGUUUCCACAUUGUGACCUGGAUAGCAAUUUGUCUAAAUGGCACUCAUACUAUAUCUCCUUAUUUCUAUAAACAUGUUAUCUUAAUGCUUAUUAAUAUAUAUAUUUUCAUAUUUCAAUCUUGACUUCAGGUGCUUAAUGCAUAACUUCAUAUUUCAAAUGUUUCUGUUAAAUUGAAGGUAGCAACAAGACAAUAAAAACCACACGUAGUUCAAAAAACCGACAUUACAUUUCCAAUGUAGAAUGUAUAUCAACCUUGAAUGUCAAUGCAAAAUAGAAAUCCCUAUAGUCCGAAUAAUACUGUUAUACAAGUCACAAUGUGUAUCUUUGAUGAGUUUAUUUACCAGUCCGAAAAAUACUGUUACUAGUUUCACAUAUGUUCUUUUAUAAUUAUGUAGUAAGUGAUGCUAUUGCAUGUAUGUGUUGGUGUGUUAUGCGUUACUUUCGAUUAGUGUAUAUAUCGUGUAAUUACAUAAUAACUAGAUGAGAGUUUCAAUGUAUAUAAAUAAGCAACUAUAAUCAGUUCAAAUUUUGUUUUUUAUAGUUGCAUUUCUCACCAUGU